GUGUCAGGGAGAAACAGCUGGAAGAUCUGAAAACUCAAAACACAGUUCAGUCUGUUCAACUUUCCUUGAUGAAUUCCAGGCUGACUGACAGCCACAAUAACACUACAGCUCUGGAAGUCAGACUGAGAUCCACAGAGACACAUCUGAAGC
This is a long non-coding RNA of Cottoperca gobio, 150 nucleotides long. RefSeq lists it as uncharacterized. The transcript is spliced from 3 exons. The record is from RefSeq and is a predicted model, not a curated record. Lineage: Eukaryota; Metazoa; Chordata; Actinopteri; Perciformes; Bovichtidae.